CGCGGUAAUUCCAGCUCCAAUAGCGUAUACUAAAGUGUUGCAGUUAAAAAGCUCGUAGUUGGAUUUCUGGCGGGGACGGCUGGUCGGUCUCGAAAGGGGCUGUACUGUUGUUGGUUCCCGUCAUCCUUGGGGAGAGCGGCUCUUACAUUAAGUUGUCGGCGUCGGGAUCCCUAUCUUUUACUGUGAAAAAAUUAGAGUGUUCAAAGCAGGCUUAGGCCCUGAAUACAUUAGCAUGGAAUAAUAAGAUACGACCUUGGUGGUCUAUUUUGUUGGUUUGCACGCCAAGGUAAUGAUUAAUAGGGAUAGUUGGGGGUAUUCGUAUUCAAUUGUCAGAGGUGAAAUUCUUGGAUUUAUGGAAGACGAACUACUGCGAAAGCAUUUACCAAGGGUGUUUUCAUUAAUCAAGAACGAAAGUUAGGGGAUCGAAGAUGAUUAGAUACCAUCGUAGUCUUAACCAUAAACUAUGCCGACUAGGGAUCGGUGGGUGCAUUUUUAGGCCUCAUCGGCACCUUAUGAGAAAUCAAAGUCUUUGGGUUCCAGGGGGAGUAUGGUCGCAAGGCUGAAACUUAAAGAAAUUGACGG
RNAcentral lists this ribosomal RNA (582 nucleotides) under uncultured Eustigmatophyceae. Its description in RNAcentral is "SSU rRNA". It matches the Rfam family "Eukaryotic small subunit ribosomal RNA", at positions 575 to 1159 of the family's 1831-position model. The record is from RNAcentral. Lineage: Eukaryota; Eustigmatophyceae.